Molecule: long non-coding RNA, 4540 nt
Filed under: Lactuca sativa (garden lettuce)
Lineage: Eukaryota; Viridiplantae; Streptophyta; Magnoliopsida; Asterales; Asteraceae
Description: long non-coding RNA (LSAT_LNC002590)
Source: RNAcentral
GCUAACGUGACCAUGUUUAGCAUUCCAUUGUGGUACUUUUCUAUAUUCAGUUUCUGAUUUGGGUGCAAAAACCUUUUACUUUUUGUUUAUGAUUGAUAAAGCUUUGAUUAUUAGACUAAUUGCUAUAUUGAAUUGUUUAUUUAUGUUUAAUUUAUCUUGCCAAGCUUGUUAAAAGAUCCUUACGUAUUAAUGAUGAUUAUUUGUUGUUAAUUGUUAAGUGAAUUGAGUUGUAUGAACAUCUGCUUGAUUGCUUGUCUCUUAUGAUUUUGAUGACCAUCGAGAUUAUAAGUCUAGGAAUAACGAAGGUGAAACUAGGAUUAACUUGGGAAUAAGUAAGUUAAUGUGUGAGCCUUGUUUGAUGACCAUCAACAAGAGGUUAAAUUGAAUGAUUAAUUUGAUUAACUAUAUUUACAAGUCUUGCUUGAUACGAACUGAACACUAGGAAGCAUGUUAGUUUAAUCAACUGAUCAUUGUUUAAAUUGACUUGUUUGCUAAAGGAUUAGUUAUAGUGAACGCGAAUCUAAUCAUUUUAGGAAUCGGUGAACAUGAAUAAAUGAAUUUGUGUAUGCAAUUGUCUAUGUUUUUAAGGUGUAAUUUAUCUAAACCAAAGUACCUGAAGAGAUUUGCUUUCCUGUUAGUUUAUCGAGAGUUGUUAAUUGUUAGUUUGAGAUUUAUUAAACUAUUUCUUUAUUAUUUUCGUGUGACCUGUAACCUAUAAUCAAAUAUAUUAAAUUAAUUCACCACCGUUCCCUGUGAUCGACACCCGACUUACCUAAGCUAUACUGUAAUCUGACUAGGUACACUGCCUAUAAGUGCAUAGUUAGUCUAAGUUUGUUAGGUUAUAAAUAUUAAAAUUAGUGGGUACUUUUGUGCACAUCAAGUUUUUGGCGCCGUUGCCGGGGAACGGAUUUCAAUUAAUUUAGUUUAUUUGAUUAUUCGUUAUUUGUUUUUAGUUAGUUUUUUAUUUUAUUUUUUUAGUUUUAUUUUCGUUGAUAUCAUUUCACUUGUCGGGAAGGUUUUUGUUGCUAUGUGCAGGAAUUCGUGAUCAUACACAUUGUUUGGUUUUACUUUUUGCAUGGGUUUCGAGAUUGCAAGCGAUUAGGGAAUUCUUGACUUGUUUAGUCUACUACUUUGUGUGAUUUGUCCAACUCAAUCCACGAGGCGUAGUAUAGCAAGGCGUAUCGAGGUGGUUAAGUGGAAGACCGAACUCUUGCUACUCUUGACUAGUUGGGUCGACUCUUGUUCUACUUUUUAGUUAAUGGUGCAAAGAAAACAAAGGAAAUAGUCUGACAGGUCCCGAAAGUUUUUGUUUUCACAAACCACCUCUUGCAUGCAAGGGAUUUAAUCAACAAUUGUAGCUUGAUUUCGACGAAGACGAGUGAUUGUGAUAUCCUUUUUAGUUAUUUUGUUUUUUUAGUUAUUUUAGUGAGUUUGUAUUUUUAUUUUUAGUUUGUUUAAAUUUUGUUUUCCAUGUUGAUGAUCUUGAUGUUUCAGAUCUUUGCAAAACUUUUACCCUUCAGAUGCUUUCAGAAAUUUCAAUAAUUAAGGUCGAAUGUUGAUUUGUCAUGAGAGAAAAAACCAUGUGAGAGUUUGAAGUUGACACUUGAGAGCCAUGACUUUCAAUAAGUGUGGGGUGCGCGUCGAUAUUUGGAGGGAUUAUUAUUUCGAAGAGUGGCGUUUCUAACUAUACAUUGAUUCCCAUGGCAUGGAUAAGUUGUUCCCACACCAUGGAGUUUUAUUUUGACGCAAUGUAGAAGUAUCAUCCCGGCUGCCAUGACAUGGUUGACACUUUCCUAUGUCGUGGGGGAGUUUUUCAUCACGAGAGGAGGCUGCUAUUCUACAUACCACGACGUGACCACCACUUACUACGUCGUGGCCAUGCUAUUAUUCGCGAUAUGGAUUUUUCCUCACUCGACGACACGACGUGGUUGACACUUUCCCACGUCAUGGUCACUAUAUAUUGCUUUAGCUUGCAAUCGUUUGCACCACAUUUCAGAAGUCAAUGUUCUUUUGUAUUUUCCGGCACAUUCAGAAGCAGCAGUUCCAGUUUCCAGUCUUCCAGCAAUUUUCAGAGCAGCUUUUAGCAGCCCCAUUCGAUCUCGUCACUACUACCCCAGUGGAGUCUGUUUCUUUUUCUUCGUUUUUAUUAUUUUUAUGAGGUUAAUUAGUUUUAUGCAUACAAUGAGGGCAUUGUGUGAAAUAAGUGUGGGGUGGGGGGUUGAAAAAGCAAUUUAAAUUGAAAAAUUAAAAAAUAGUUAAACAUUUAUAAACUUGAAAUAAUAGUUUAAUUUAGAAAAUCUAGUGAUAAUUUAAAAUUUUGCUAAUAUUAUAUGGGAUGAUCCAAUGAGAACCCAAAUGUUUACCUGAGCCAACACAUGUUAUAGUGUAUUUGUGGCUUCCCAUUUCCUAGUGAAAAGUCAUGAGAUAUGAAAGGUAAUCUAGUAGUUUAUAUGACAUAAUAUGUUUUGCAGCCUAAACCAGAAAUCUAUCCAGGAGAGCUUAUGUAGUCAUUGCACUUAGACUAAUACCUUAACCAAUAAGGGUUGAAGUUAAGCUCCUUGCUUAAGCAUGUAGGGUAUGAGCGAAAAAAGUGAGAUAUAGAAAAAAGAGAGAGAAAUUACAAAAAAAGUUGUUUGAAUUUUGGAGCUAUAAAAGUAUGAAGAUCAAAAGAUCAAAAUUCUGAAGAAAUCCAAAAAGUUGAAGAUACCAAAAAUCAAACAAAAAGGUGGUGAAUUCAAAGAAAGCAAAUAUCAAAUAUUAAAGAAGAGAUUAAUUCCAAGAGCUUCAUUUCUGGUAUCAAAGUGUAAUUCUUUCUAGACUUUAUGUAUGCUUGGUAGUUUAACCAAAAAUACCUUGAGGUUAAGAAAUAUAUUUGAGGAUUGAUUCGGAGUGUUGCAAAAAUGAAUGCCGUAUAAGCUAAGGGGUGAAGGUUCAUAAAGAUUGUGAGUAUUUAGGAGUGGAAAGUUCUUAUGAAUUAUAGACACAAAUACAUGCAUUGUGGUCUUGGGAUAAUGGAUGGGUUUGAAAUGGAAUAUUCUUUGCGAUAUUGGUGAAAUAAUAAAAGUCAGUUUGCUUGGGGGCAAGCAAAGGCUAAGUGUGGGGUAUUUUGAUAUGUGUGUUUUUAUAUAUAUUUAUGUGAAACAUAUCUUAAUAUUUUAGCCUNUUUUAGCCUUUAUUAUUAUUAUUUAGAAUUAAAAAAGACUUAAUAUGCUUUGAAAUAUUUAAUUACAGUAAAAAUGGGAGUUGGAAUGCAAAAGGAAGAGAACGGAGCUGAAAAGAUGCAAAAAGGAUAUUGCUGGCAGAUUGACCCCUCUUCAGUGUUUCAGGUAUAUCUGAUGAGUCACAAAUCCAAUUGACGAGAUUCAAAAUGUUCUGAAAACUAGACGGAAUUUCCUACGACUUAUGUGAUAGGGACUUUUGGCUAAUUCGACACUUAUCUUAUCCAAACUCGGCCUUGAAGAUGAAGCAUAAAAGCUGGACAGAAAUUCCCUCCAAGUUACUUAUUCCCCAAGCACCACUUAUCUUAUUUUUAUUUGCUUAAUCCCUAAGCCACAAUUAGUUUCCUUAUUACAAUCCAACUCUAAUAUUCCAUAUAAAUUCCAUCUCCAUCAACUAUAAAUACCUCAUAUCAUUCCACCAUUUUGAAUAAUCUAUGAUAUUCCACUUCGACUUGUGCAACAAGAAAACUUCAUAGUUGCCGUUUUGAGGGUCUAGGAGGCGGCCGGAAGGCCGUUAAGCUAACGGGAGCGGAGAUCGGAAGGAUUGGAGAGCGGAUACAUGUCGGUAAUCAUAUGGGUUGUUAACGUGACCAUGUUUAGCAUUCCAUUGUGUUACUAUUCUGUAUUUAGUUUCUGAUUUGGGUGUAAAAACCUUUUACUUUGCGUUUAUGAUUGAAUGAAGCUUUGAUUAUUAGACUAAUUGCUAUAUUGAAUUAUUUGUUUAUGUUUAAUUUAUCUUGCCAAGCUUGUUAGAAGAUCCUUACGUAUUAAUGAUAAUUAUUUGCUGUUAAUUAUUAAGUAAAUUGAGUUGUAUGAACAUCUGCUUGAUUGCUUGUUGCUUAUGAUUUUGAUGACCAUCGAGAUUAUAAGUCUAAGAAUAACGAAUGUGAAACUAGGAUUAACUUGGGAAUAAGUAAGUUAAUGUGUGAGCCUUGUUUGAUGACCAUCAACAAGAGGUUAAAUUGAAUUAGUAAUUUGAUUAACUAUAUUUACAAGUCUUGCUUGAUACGAACUGAACACUAGGAAGCAUGUUAGUUUAAUCAACUGAUCACUGUUUAAAUUGACUUGUUUGCUAAAGGAUUAGUUAUAGUGAACGCGAAUCUAAUCAUUUUAGGAAUCGGUGAACAUGAAUAAAUGAAUUUGUGUAUGCAAUUGUCUAUGUUUUUAAGGUGUAAUUUAUUUAAACCAAAGUACCUGAAGAGAUUUGCUUUCCUGUUAGUUUAUUGAGAGUUGUUAAUUGUUAGUUUGAGAUUUAUUAAACUAUUUCUUUAUUAUUUUCGUGUGACCUGUAACCUAUAAUCAAAUAUAUUAAAUUAAUUCAC